GCCCCCGUAGCGCAGUGGACAGCGCGGCUGCCUCCGACGCGGCAGGUCGCAGGUUCGACUCCUGCCGGGGGCG
Molecule: transfer RNA, 73 nt
Filed under: Kineococcus xinjiangensis
Lineage: Bacteria; Bacillati; Actinomycetota; Actinomycetes; Kineosporiales; Kineosporiaceae
Rfam family: tRNA
About the family: Transfer RNA (tRNA) molecules are approximately 80 nucleotides in length. Their secondary structure includes four short double-helical elements and three loops (D, anti-codon, and T loops). Further hydrogen bonds mediate the characteristic L-shaped molecular structure. tRNAs have two regions of fundamental functional importance: the anti-codon, which is responsible for specific mRNA codon recognition, and the 3' end, to which the tRNAs corresponding amino acid is attached (by aminoacyl-tRNA synthetases). tRNAs cope with the degeneracy of the genetic code in two manners: having more than one tRNA (with a specific anti-codon) for a particular amino acid; and 'wobble' base-pairing, i.e. permitting non-standard base-pairing at the 3rd anti-codon position.
Source: Rfam by way of RNAcentral